UACGGGGGGGGCAAGCGUUGUUCGGAAUUACUGGGCGUAAAGGGCUCGUAGGCGGCCAACUAAGUCGGACGUGAAAUCCCUCGGCUCAACCGGGGAACUGCGUCCGAUACUGGAUGGCUCGAGUCCGGGAGAGGGAUGCGGAAUUCCAGGUGUAGCGGUGAAAUGCGUAGAUAUCUGGAGGAACACCGGUGGCGAAGGCGGCAUCCUGGACCGGCACUGACGCUGAGGAGCGAAAGCCAGGGGAGCAAACAGG
RNAcentral lists this ribosomal RNA (253 nucleotides) under uncultured bacterium. RNAcentral describes it as "partial 16S ribosomal RNA". It matches the Rfam family "Bacterial small subunit ribosomal RNA", at positions 524 to 776 of the family's 1533-position model. The record is from RNAcentral.